Molecule: ribosomal RNA, 521 nt
Filed under: uncultured bacterium
Lineage: Bacteria
Description: partial 16S ribosomal RNA
Rfam family: Bacterial small subunit ribosomal RNA
Source: RNAcentral
GNUUCCUCGACGCNGGCGGCGUGCCUNUACNUGCANGUCGAACGAGAAAUUCCGGCUUCGGUUGGAAGAGUAAAGUGGCGAACGGGUGAGUAACACGUGGACAAUCUACCCUUAAAUUUGGGAUAAUCCUUCGAAAGAGGGUCUAAUACCAUAUAAUAUCAUUUGAUGGCAUCAUCUUAUGAUCAAAGGCGGGGCAACCUGUCGUUUAGGGAUGAGUCCGCGUUCCAUUAGCUUGUUGGUGGGGUAACGGCCUACCAAGGCUGCGAUGGAUAGCCGGCUUGAGAGAGUGAUCAGCCACACUGGAACUGAGACACGGUCCAGACUCCUACGGGAGGCAGCAGUGGGGAAUCUUGCGCAAUGGGGGAAACCCUGACGCANCGACGCCGCGUGAGCGAUGAAGGCCCUCGGGUCGUAAAGCUCUGUCANGUGGGAANAAACCUUCCGGUUAAUCCCGCUUGGUUNCNGUCCCCAAAGAACNCCGCUACUNCUNCCNCACCCNGNAUACNANGUCCANCCUUUUC